CUUUUAUGGAGAGUUUGAUCCUGGCUCAGAGUGAACGCUGGCGGCGUGCCUAAUACAUGCAAGUCGAACGAUGAAGCUUCUAGCUUGCUAGAGUGCUGAUUAGUGGCGCACGGGUGAGUAACGCAUAGGUCAUGUGCCUCUUAGUUUGGGAUAGCCAUUGGAAACGAUGAUUAAUACCAGAUACUCCCUACGGGGGAAAGAUUUAUCGCUAAGAGAUCAGCCUAUGUCCUAUCAGCUUGUUGGUAAGGUAAUGGCUUACCAAGGCUAUGACGGGUAUCCGGCCUGAGAGGGUGAACGGACACACUGGAACUGAGACACGGUCCAGACUCCUACGGGAGGCAGCAGUAGGGAAUAUUGCUCAAUGGGGGAAACCCUGAAGCAGCAACGCCGCGUGGAGGAUGAAGGUUUUAGGAUUGUAAACUCCUUUUGUUAGAGAAGAUAAUGACGGUAUCUAACGAAUAAGCACCGGCUAACUCCGUGCCAGCAGCCGCGGUAAUACGGAGGGUGCAAGCGUUACUCGGAAUCACUGGGCGUAAAGAGCGCGUAGGCGGGAUAGUCAGUCAGGUGUGAAAUCCUAUGGCUUAACCAUAGAACUGCAUUUGAAACUACUAUUCUAGAGUGUGGGAGAGGUAGGUGGAAUUCUUGGUGUAGGGGUAAAAUCCGUAGAGAUCAAGAGGAAUACUCAUUGCGAAGGCGACCUGCUGGAACAUUACUGACGCUGAUUGCGCGAAAGCGUGGGGAGCAAACAGGAUUAGAUACCCUGGUAGUCCACGCCCUAAACGAUGGAUGCUAGUUGUUGGAGGGCUUAGUCUCUCCAGUAAUGCAGCUAACGCAUUAAGCAUCCCGCCUGGGGAGUACGGUCGCAAGAUUAAAACUCAAAGGAAUAGACGGGGACCCGCACAAGCGGUGGAGCAUGUGGUUUAAUUCGAAGAUACACGAAGAACCUUACCUAGGCUUGACAUUGAGAGAAUCCGCUAGAAAUAGUGGAGUGUCUGGCUUGCUAGACCUUGAAAACAGGUGCUGCACGGCUGUCGUCAGCUCGUGUCGUGAGAUGUUGGGUUAAGUCCCGCAACGAGCGCAACCCCCUUUCUUAGUUGCUAACAGGUCAUGCUGAGAACUCUAAGGAUACUGCCUCCGUAAGGAGGAGGAAGGUGGGGACGACGUCAAGUCAUCAUGGCCCUUACGCCUAGGGCUACACACGUGCUACAAUGGGGUGCACAAAGAGAAGCAAUACUGCGAAGUGGAGCCAAUCUUCAAAACACCUCUCAGUUCGGAUUGUAGGCUGCAACUCGCCUGCAUGAAGCUGGAAUCGCUAGUAAUCGCAAAUCAGCCAUGUUGCGGUGAAUACGUUCCCGGGUCUUGUACUCACCGCCCGUCACACCAUGGGAGUUGUGUUUGCCUUAAGUCAGGAUGCUAAAUUGGCUACUGCCCACGGCACACACAGCGACUGGGGUGAAGUCGUAACAAGGUAACCGUAGGUGAACCUGCGGUUGGAUCACCUCCUUUCU
Molecule: ribosomal RNA, 1508 nt
Filed under: Helicobacter pylori B38
Lineage: Bacteria; Pseudomonadati; Campylobacterota; Epsilonproteobacteria; Campylobacterales; Helicobacteraceae
Description: 16S ribosomal RNA
Rfam family: Bacterial small subunit ribosomal RNA
Source: RNAcentral